GCCCAGACUCCUACGGGAGGCAGCAGUGGGGGAUAUUGCACAAUGGGGGGAACCCUGAUGCAGCGACGCCGCGUGGGUGAAGGAGUGCUUCGGCAUGUAAAGCCCUAUCGGCAGGGAAGAAGCAAGACGGUACCUGACUAAGAAGCCCCGGCUAACUACGUGCCAGCAGCCGCGGGAAUACGUAGGUGGCAAGCGUUAUCCGGAUUUAUUGGGUGUAAAGGGCGUGUAGGCGGAAUGCCAAGUCAGCGGUAAAAUCGCGGGGCUCAACCUCGCUCCGCCGUUGAAACUGGCGUUCUUGAGUGGGCGAGAAGUAUGCGGAAUGCGUGGUGUAGCGGUGAAAUGCAUAGAUAUCACGCAGAACUCCGAUUGCGAAGGCAGCAUACCGGCGCCCAACUGACGCUGAAGCACGAAAGCGUGGGUAUCGAGCAGGAUUAGAUACCCCCGUACU
Molecule: ribosomal RNA, 448 nt
Filed under: uncultured bacterium
Lineage: Bacteria
Description: bacterial SSU rRNA
Rfam family: Bacterial small subunit ribosomal RNA
Source: RNAcentral